RNAcentral lists this long non-coding RNA (17842 nucleotides) under Homo sapiens (human). RNAcentral's name for it is "long non-coding RNA NONHSAT211896.1". Lineage: Eukaryota; Metazoa; Chordata; Mammalia; Primates; Hominidae. The record is from RNAcentral.
CGGGGUUUCACCAGGCUGGUCUCAAACUCCUGAUCUUAGGUGAUCCACCUGCCUCGGCCUCCCGUAGUGCUGGGAUUAUAGGCUUGAACCACCGUGCUUGGCCCAGGAGUUGUAUUCUUGAUCUAGGUUUAAAUGUAAACCUACACUUGGCCUAGGUUUUAAGUAAAACCCUACGUGUUUUUGCCUAUGUAAAGGUCUGUUAGGACAUUGGAAAGUUGUGCAGGAUAUGGGACAGUUCUUUCUAGUGUGACCUGCCCUGAAUACUGCAGGACAUCCACUAUCCCUGACCCUGCCGGAUAAUGCAAGUAACACCCCAGCUCCAACUGUCAUGAUGAUGAAAAAUGCCCCCAGUAUUGCCAAAGUGGCCCUUAGAAGCUGGUUUUUCCCUUCUUGAAGAGCACCGAAGCCUUUUUGAAGAAGGAUGCCACCUAUGUGUCAUCUGGAUGCCUAAUAAUAGCACCCGGCACUGAGUUGGGUUGGAGGUAGCUUCCUGACUCUGUUGAACCAAGUCUUUAAAGCCGAUUCUGUUAAGCCAGGUUUGUCUCGCCAGCACAUGAUGAAGGGUUGUUGCUAUGGACUGAGCCUCCAGGAUUCUAUCUGUGAUGGUGUGACUGGGGCCCGUGACAGAGGACAGCACAGUGGCUACGCCAAGGGCUGGAUAACACAGAGAUGCCCUCUGGGCCAGCACCCCCAAGUGCCAUGUAUAUUUCCAGAGCAUCUCUAAGUUUCCCCCAUUUGGCUGUGAGACCUCAUCCACAAGGCCUUCUCCUACCUCCUGUGAUGAUCUCUGGGGUCGCCACCGCAUCAGUGCCUUCACAGCAUUCCUUGGAUAUGGCAGUGCAUGGCUGGGCUGGCUCAGCUGAGAACAGCUGUCCACGCGGAACAGGAACCCAUUGGAGGCAGCACGUAUUCUCGGCUGCUCUGGUGAGAGUGGUGUUUCCAGAUUCUGGUGGGCCUCCCUCUCCAACACAGCAUACCUGGCUGACCUCCAGCUUGGCCCUGGAGGGGUUUCCCUCCUCCCUUUUUCUCCACAGCUUCAUUUGAGAGUGGGAUUCAGGAGGACUCUCCUCCACCAGCAGCUCACUUCCUGUUUGCAUUGUUCGGAAAGCCAGGCAAGAUCUGGGGAUAAGUAACCCCUGUCCCCCACAUUUACAGCUCUGAGGAUUUUCUAAAAGGCUGAUCAACAAUCUGAUUCCUGGGGACUCUGCUCUACUCUCUAAUUUCAGAAAGCAUGUUGCACUGUGGCCCUCAGCUGGGCAUCCUGCCCUUAGAGUCCUGUCUCUUGGCAUAUCCUAGGUCUCAGCUAGGUGGCGGCUUUCCUCUGCUUCUGAAGGUAAACAAUAGUAGCAGAGGGUAGAAGCCAGCUGUUCCUUGCCCCCAGGCCUCAUUUCUAGGGUUGGCACUCCAUGAUGGCAAGAGACAUUAUCUCUGGCAGACAGCAGAGGGUGGCAGGGGACUGAAGAUCUCAUUUUGCCCAUUUAUGCGAUUCCUCUCCGGCCCCAGUCUUAUUUCCUGUCUUGUUCCCACCUUCUGCCUCUGUUCAUGUAUAGGCUUUAGCACACGGCAGACAUUUAGCACACGGCAGACAUUUGACAUUCUGCAACUCUGCAAGAUGUUCAGUUUCCUGAUUAUUGAAUACCUAGACCUUCUUAAUAAGCCUGAGCCUCAUUUCCAUUCUCAUUUCCAGUAGGCCAGCUUGAACCAAACCAUAUUGCUAUCAUAAAGAAGCUUACUAGAAAAAUAAAGAAAUGGGAGAGGCUAUAGUGUGUAGGGAUUUAUACUGCAUAAUAACACUUCAAAGAAAUUAAGGAAGUGAUUACUGUAAAAGUCAGAAUCAUUGUUAAUUUGGGCGGCAGAGACUGGACUGUGGGUGGCCUGGAAAAGUUCUAUUUCUUGAUUUGCAUGCUGGGCUCCAAGGGUAUUUAGCUUAUAAUAAUUCAUCAAGCUAUGCAUUUUUGCAUACUGUGUAUAUAUGUAUUUAUUUUCCAGUAAAAAGUUAAACAAUCCAAUCAAAAGGCAGAGAUUGUCAGGCUGGAUUAAAAAUCAUGACCCAAUUUUAGAUUCUAAGAAACUAGUAGGUUGAAUGUAAAAUAAUGGAAAAAAAGACGUAGCGGGUAAACAACAACCACAAGAAAGUAGAAGUGGCUAUAGAUAUGCACCUAAUACUGAAACGUCAAAACACACGAAGCAAAAUGGACAGAAAGGCAAGAGAAAGAUAAUUCAACAAUCGUUGGAUACUUCAGUACCUCACUCUCAAUAAUAGAUGGAACAACCGGACAGAAGAUUGCUGAGGAAAUAGAAGACUUUAAUAAUACUCUAAACCAACUAGACCUAGCAACAUCUAUAGAACAUGUCACCUAACAACGGAAUAUAUACUCCUCUCAAGUGCACAUAAAACAUUGUCCAGGAAAGAUCAUAUGCUAGGGCAUAAAAUAAACAUCAAUACAUUAAAUAGGGUAGAAUAAUAAAAAGUGUGCUCUUCAGUCACAACGAAUAAAAUUAGAAAUCAAUAGCACAAAAAAUCAGGAAACUCACAAAUAUGAUAUAAUAUUCCUAAAUAAUAAAUGAGUCAAGGAGGAAAUAAAAAAACUAUUCAGAAAGUGGCUGGGCGCGGUGGCUCACACCUGUAAUCCCUGCACUUUGGGACUCUGAGGCGGGUGGAUCACCUGAGGUCAGAAGUUCGAGACCAGCCUGACCAAUAUGGUGAAACCCUGACUCUAGUAAAAAUACAAAAAUUAGCUGGGCAUGGUGGCCUGUGCCUGUAGUCCCAGCUACUUUGGAGGCUGAGACAGUAGAAUUGCUUGAACCCGGGAGGUGGAGGGUGCAGUGAGCCGAGAUCACACCAUUGUAAUCCAGCCUGAGUGACAGGGCAAGAUUCUGUCAAAAACAAAAACAAAAACAAAAACAAACAGAAAAAAGAAUUCAGAAACUACUUUGUGGUAAAUGAAAAUAAAGAUCAAUAUAUCAAAAAUUUAUAGGAUGCAGCUAAAGCAAAACUUAUAGGAGAAUUUAUCAUUGUAAAUGUCUAUAUUCAGAAAGAAGAAAAAUUAAAAAACUUGUAUGUAAAUGUUUCAAGCAGCAUUCUUCAUAAUAGCCCAAAGUGGGAACAACCCAAAUGCCAUCAACUGACAGAUGAACAAAUGUGCUAUAUGGUACAAUAGAUUGUUAAUUGGCCAGAAAAGGGAAUGAAGUACUGAUACCUUCAAAAGCAUGGAUGGAUCUUGGAAAUGCUAUGCUAAGUGAAAGAUGCCAGUCACAAAAGAAUAUACAUUAUAUGAUUCCAUUCAUGUGAAAUUCCAGAACAGAGAAGUCUACAGAGACAGAAGGUGGAAUAGUAAUUACUUAGGGCUGAGGGAGGACGGGGAGGUGGAUACAGGGAUAAUUGCUAAGGGUAUGAGGUUGCAUUUUGAGUUGAUAAAAUGCUCCUAAAUUGACUGGGGUGAUAAGUGCAAAUAUCUGUGAAUAUACUGAAACCAUUGAAGUGUACACUUUAAGUGGGUGACUUGGUUGGUAUCUGAAUUACAUAUCAAUAAAGUUGUUUUUUAAAAAGUUAAAAAGUGUUUAGAAACAUUGCUGUAAGUACCUUUGAAUACACAUGAGUCAGACAUAUUUGGGAGGAUCUGUAAAUUCAGAUUUAACCAAUAUAAUAAUAUUAAACAUUAAAAGUUUAGUUUUACUCAUCUUUAUCCAAUGUAAACUGUAUUUUAUACUAAUACUAUAAUAGAAUAAGCUCCACUUUUUAUAUUUAACGUCUUCAGCAUUUUCUAAUAUUUCAAUUCAGUUUUUGUAAUUAGCUAUUUUAAAAGUCUGUCUACAAUUUCAAGGAGUGAAUUUGCUGAAGUUUAUGUAGUAAUUCUCCCUAUCCCCUGUAAGAAAUUGUCAAACCAUUUUCCAAAGUGGUUGUACCAUUUUGCAUAUCCACCUGAAAUAUAACAGAGUUCCAGCUGCUCUACAUCCUCAUCAGCGCUCUAUGUUGUUAGCUUUUAAAAAGCUAUUCUGGCCAGGCACGGUGGCUCAUGCCUGUAAUCCCAGCACUUUGGGAGGCCAAGGCAGGUUCGAGACCAGCCUAGCCAAACAUGGUGAAACGCCGUCUCUACUAAAAAUACAAAAAAUUAGCUGGGUGUGGUGGCAGGCGCCUGUAAUCCCAGCUACUCGUGAGGCUGAGGCAAAAGAAUCCCUUGAACCACAGAGGCAGAGGUUACAGAGGCAAAAAAGUCACUUGAACCCCAGAGGCUGAGGUUGCAGUGAGCCAAAGUCACGCCAUUGCACUCCAGUCUGGGCAACAAGAGUGAAACUCCGUCUCAAAAAAAAAAAAAAAAAAAAAAAGCUAUUCAGCUAUUCUAAUAGGCGUGCAGCAAGAUCUAAUUAUAGUUUUGAUCUGCACUUCUCUAAUUAUGCUGAUGAAUAUCUUUUUAUGUGUUUAUUUGCUACUCAUAUCUUUUUGGCUAAAUAUCUGUUCAUGUCUUUUUCCAGUUUUUCUAAAAGUUGGCUAAUUUGAUUUCUUAUUGAAUUGUGAGAGUUUUUAAAAUCCAUAUUAUUUAUACAAGACCUUCAUCAGAUAUGUGAUUUACAAAUAUCUUCCCCCAGUUUGUUGCUUGUCUUCAUUGUCUUAACUGUAUUUUUAGAAGAAAAGACUUUUAAAAUUUUUGUCUAAUUUAUUAACUUUUAAUUAAUUAAUUUUGCUAAUUUUGUUUUCAGGGACUAUUUUUGUGUGGCAGGAAAUAGGGAGAUAUUGAAGAAUUUUGAGCAGGGGAUCAACAUAUUAAAAGAGACAUUAGGAUAAAAAUUGGUUUGAUUGUAGACAACAAUUUAAAUUGAAGUAGAAAUAAAUCUAGGGUAAGAGAAAUUAGCUGUUACAAUAAAUUAGGCAUGAAAUAAAUGAGGAAUUUAGGUAAGUAUGGUAACAACCAGAAUUAUACCUUAUUAAAAUUUCAUCUAUCUGCUUAACUAGAAUCUGCUAAUGAUUGAAUAGAUUUUCUUAUAGCCAGGGUUACUUCGGAUGACUCCAAAGGGAAAUCCAGAGACUUCCCUGAUCAGCAACAUGAGGAGGCCCCCAACCUCCUUAAUCCUAUUUGGCCAGUUCCUCCAAUGCCCUUUUUAAGAAAAUGUGUAUCAUGGUUUUCCAUGCAGUCAGGAAACAUAAACUUUCUAGGAUGCAAUUUAGUCAUAAUGCUUAUAUCUAUUAGUUAUUGCUAUAUCACAAACCACUUCAAAAGUUAGGGUCUUAAAACAACCAUCAGCCGGGCGCCGUGGCUUGCUCCUGUAAUCCUGGGCCGAGGCAAGCAGAUCACUUGAGGUCAGGAGUUCGAGACCAGCUUGGCCAACGUGGUGAAACCACAUCUCUACUAAAAGUAUAAAAAUUAGCCAGGCAUGGUGGUGGGUGCCUGUAAUGCCAGCUACUCGAGAUGCUGAGGCAGGAGAAUCACUGGAACCCAGGAGCGGAGGUUGCAGUGAGCUGAGAUCGUGCCACAGCACUCCAGCCUCGGCGACAGAGCAAGGCUCUGUCUCAAAAAAAACAAAAACAACCAACCAACCAACCAACCAAACAAAAAACAAAACCGUUGUUUACUUAGCUCAUGAUUCUGAAGAUUUGACCAUUUGGGGUGGGAACAGCUGGGUUCUUCUGGUUCCUUCUGGGUCCUCUACUUGGCUACAGAUGGCUUUGUUGAUCUUGGCUGAGCUCUCUCAAAUGUCCUGGUGCCUUGGCUAGCUUAUUGAAGCCCAGGCUUAGCAUUAACAAGUGCCUUCCAUGGUAUUUAAUUGGACAAAGUAAGUCAAAGGCAGCCCAGAUUCAAGGAGUGCAUACAAGGAGGGGAAUAAUCGUAGGCAUUUUUGCAAACAAUCUGCUUCGGUGCUUAUCUUCAGACCUGAGAUAUGGUCAUGUUUGUGACAUUCCUUGGAAAGAAAAGCAUCCUAGAGACCUUUCUAGGAGUUACUGGUGAAGGAAGUAUUUAGAAGAUAAACUUUCAUUAAAUUCAUUGUAGCAGGAUCUGGGAAUUAGGAUCUCAAGGGGAAAUCCCAACUCUUGUUGUUUGCUUCCCGUAAGAAUAAGAAACAGCAGCAUUAUCAAGUGCUGUACUUUACUACAAAUAUUAACCGGCAACAAUUGACCCUCUCUGGGACUUUCCAUUUAGUUAUUUACUGGAAGCUGUUCUGUAAUUUUCAGCAGUGCUGUUAUCUAUGAGAUUACUUUUCUUUUAGCUGUGCUGGGUUUUCAGACGCAUUAAUAUAGCUUAAUAUCUCUUCCUGUUGCUUCUCUAAUUAAAAGCUUGUUGGAUUUCCAAAUAAGAAAUAACAUACACAAGCACUGGUAAUUCAGGCUGCUAAUAAUUGGGAGAAAAACUUCAGCAAGGAACAGCAUCAACCAGGCAUGAGGGAUCUUAUGAUCCGGCAAAGAAAGAGGCCUAGGAGUCUGGGGAGGAUUGCAGGGCAGUGAUCUGGCUCUGAGCAGCUGGCCUCCCUGAGAGGGGCUGCUGCCGAUGAAGGACCGCCAACAGACAGCCUGAGUAUAGUGCAUGUGCCCUGUCCCAAGAUGGAUGUUUGAAUCCUGGAUCCAAGAGAAGAGCUCAUGUCUGUUUUUCCAAUCACUGCUUGUAUCCUUUCCUGCUUCCCCAAGUCCCUCAUUCCUCUCCUCCCGGCGGCUUUUGCCCUCUUUGGUCCAGGCCGCAGGAAACCGUUCCUCUAGUUCUAACAAUCGGCCACUAGAUGGCACUAGAUGUUCGGAUUAAAGUGCCUUCCUGAGCUCCACGGGCCCAGGGCGAGGGCAGGCAGGGUCUGAAGACAGCUUCUCUCGGCCACCGUCAUUCUCUCUCCCACUUCGCUCUUCACUUCUCAUCCCUUCCUCAUCCCAUUUAAACAUUAGAUUCCUUCCAGCAGCGGUGUUUGCGUGAUUUCAAAGGUAAGGACACAGAAGCCCAGGGAAUAUAAGUAACCUCCCAAAAAUCGCACAGCAGGACAGAUCUCAUAUAUCGCAGCAACAAAGAUGGCCCCCAGGAGUUCCAUGGACCCUUAUUUCUCAUCAUUUAGAAGGAGAAAGCACCUCUUUCCUCAGUUCCUCUCUUCAGGACUCCCAGUACCCCUGCUUCUGGUGACAGCCCAUGGCAGGUGGGGAGGACGUGCAGAUGGAAAGAAUGAGAAGGGCAGGUUUGGGCCCUCAUGGGUGACAGAAAAGUACCAGAGUUCUGGUUCCUCUUUGAACACACAUGUUCUCUGGGUUUCGCCUUGCAGCCCAAGAAGAGAGGAGGCUUGGAAUCACCACACUUCCCACAGCAAGGGCAAUCUUUAAAGGCAGUAAGGUGUGACGCUCCAGACUGGCAGCUUGGCAAGACAGAGCCCAUGGAUACCAGCACACGGGAAUCUGGACGGCUCACUCUGACAGCAGUCAGCACUGGGAACAAAAGGAAUGGAGGGAAAAAAGCGCAAAUGUAUUUUUACAUAUUGUAGGCAUAUGGCCACAAGACCAGCAGAAAUAUAUUUAAUUACCAAUUGCACGCAUUGAGGAGAAAAACACUGGAAAUGGGGGAAAAACUGUAUACACAGCAAUAUUAUUCUAAUUUAACUUUUCACCUCAGUUUUUUUUUUCUUUCUUUAAUUGAAAAUGGAAGGGAAUGUGGGUUGGAAUCGCAAAGGGUUAUCUUCUGGAAUUCUAUCAAAGGUGAUGUGGGAUUUUGACAUGCCUUCUUUAACAGCAUAACAUUAUAGAAAGAAAUAGGAAAGUUUUCUUUUAGUUAUUUUAAUUAUGAAAUAAUUUGACCAAGGCGUUUUGGGGGAGUGGGGCAGACCGGAUUUGAAAUAUAACAGUUAGACAAUCUUACUGUCAUGUUAAAACUGUACUUUUGAUGUUACACAUUAGGCCUCAACAAUUAAUAACCUAAUCUUGAAAAAUUAUAUUCUUGUUCUUUUCUAUGAAAGCAGAAUACUUCAACCCCAUUUAUUGUCAGGUAUUGUCCUAGCCAGUGGAGGUACAGAGGUGAAUCAGAUGUCAUCCCUGCACUGAAGAAGCAUAGCCUAGGCUGGGAGACAAAUACACAUAUAUAUAAUUAUAAUGUUAUACCAUUAAAUUAUUAAAUAUGUGAAAAUUAUCAUUAGCUAAAAUCACAAUUAUAAUACACAUAAUACCAUCUAUAUAAGGCAAUGAUGUAGCUAUAUGAAUCCAGGGGCCAUAGAGGAUUGACUCUUAGUUCAGUCUGGGUGUCAGUCACACUGGAGGACCAGGGAGGAGACCUCUUCCAGGAAAAGCUGAUGAAAAGGAUCAGUGAGAAAAAGCCCGGGAAGAAGGCAGUUGCAUUUUGCAGAAUGAAGGAGUUUGGGCCAGUGUGAGCCAGCUCCCUUCCUAGGGUGCCGGCUCAGGGAGUCAGGUAAUGGGGCCAGGGAAACGUGUGCCCACUGACUUGGGAAAGAGAGAGGGGCCCAUACCUCCUUCUUGGCAGGAAAGAAAAUCACAGCCCCGAAAAAGUAACUUGCCAGGAGCCCCCUUCUUUGUAGCAUUCCUAUCACUGACUUCCUGUUAGCCUGGGUCUCCUGUUCUCACCCUGCUCUUUGAAAUCCUUGGUGGCCAGUGCCGGCUAUGUAGGUGACCUGUGCUCCCUGGUCCCAUGGAGGUUCUGCCCAGCUGACCAGCCUUGCAGUCUGUUUCUGCAGCCCAGAUAAUGGUUCAGAGGCAUGUUAAUGUGUGCUUUGCUUUAUGUAGCAAAUAUCAUCUUGAAAAGUUUUUUUGUACAUUUACUUUUUUUUUGUAAAGCGACCUACAUAAUAAAAGCACUAGGGGAGCUGGUUAUUUAAAGGAACCCUGUAGUGAAUCUUUUCAUAAUGUAGAAGCCAUUCCUUAAUUAAUCUUUGUUUUUCAUCAGACAUACCUGUGCCUCUGUGGCUUUUCUUUUUUUUUUUUUCUAAGAGGAAGCGGCCUAGGCUAUAGUGCCAAGUGCGUGAGACUGAGGGCCAGGGCUUCCAGAGCGCAUGCUGAGCUGUUGCUGGCUGCCACUGGGUUGAGGAUGUGAGCAUAACCUUGGGGUCAGUUCUAUCUUCUGACAAAGGCACAAUCAAAUGGGCUUAGGUUCAAAUCCGGGUUUUACCAUCCAUCGACUUCAUUUGGCAAUUCACUUGUUUCCUUGAAUGUUAGUUCUUUACCCAUGUACUGGGUGGUUACAUACGUCAAAUCAAAAAGUUUCUCCGAGGGCCUGGCAUCAUAGCUAUGACUAAGGGUUUGCUUGCCCCCACUCCAAUUCUACUCUGCUCCACUCUGCAACAGCCCCUUGGAGCAAGAGCCACAGCUGGACUUGUUGGGAGGAAAUACUUGUUAACUUGGGACCUCCCUGCAACUGUUUCCUCAGAGGAGAGGAAAUGCCCACUCUACUCCCCAGGAGGAAGGUGGAUAAAAGACAAUAUUUUAGACUAUUCUUUACCCCUGGUUACCCAUGGUAAAAAGUGAUUGAUCUUAAUAGUAAAGUUUCAGAUACAGCCAUCUUGGGCAGGUCUGUACAUUCAAGUAUGGUAGUAUGGGCUGCCCUCCCCCACCGCCACACCCUCAGACAGGCCCAUAUGUUUUAAAUUGAUCCAAAUCUGCUCUUUUUUUCCAUAUCUGAGCCCACCCCUGUGGCUCUUCAGGAGCUUUUGGUCUGAGCAAGGGUCCCACAGCCUCCCCUGAUCCUGUUUCAUCAGUUAUAAACCUGUUGGAACAUUGUGUCUGCUCAGCUUGCUAGAACUUUUUACCUCCCUAUCCUCUAGCUGCUGGGGAGGGCAGACACCUGCUUGGCACCACACAUGCUUUCCGGUCAUCUGGUCACCUGUGGGCCUGCAGCUAGGGUGGUGGUUGUGGCUGGAGCUUAGAGCCACAUCCAGUGAGGGUCACAGAGCUCCUCAGAGAAGUGCUGGGAGUGAGACUCCAACCCGCCCCAGCACUGAGGUGGGGUUGAGGGAUGUGGCUGAAUGACCAAGGGGAUGGCCAUAGACUCUAUCCAGGAAGAGAAAUCCCAAGGGCAGGCAGGUUAACCUGUCCCCACAAACUCAUGUCCAGGCCCUGGGGUUCCCAACCCUGACUGAUGAGAACCGACAGCUAUACCCUUUUGGUUGGCAUUUCUGAGAAUUGCGUGGACAAUUCUCUUCUCUUUUCUUACUGAAGGAAGGACAGAUAUAGAGGUGGUUCUAACUCUGGUGCUGGUAUAUUUGUGACUAUCACUGGGAUCAUAUUACCAGAGUAAGUUUGACCAAUUUGGAGAAUUGGCCUUGGAGAGGUCAACACUUAAGAGAAAGGCCAAGGCCAUGGCCUGGCUCAAAUGGAUCCCAUUUCUUGCACAUGAGUUACACUGACUCAGUUAUUGGAGAGCCCUCUUGUGCUUGGGUAGGAAUUUGAAAUGUUGAAGUAGUCAUGGGUUAGGGACCUGCUGCUAAUGACCCUCCUGUAACCCAAACUUAAGAUACUUCUGGAAAAUAGACUACAUCAGAAGACUUCUAAGGUCCCUCAUUCACUCAUUCAUCUAUUCUUUUAUCUGGGAUUUAUCAGGGACCUACCAUGUACCAGGUUCUAUACCACCUGUUGGAGAAACAAUGGUGAAUGAGUCCCUGCACUUCCAAGGCUUGCAGUCCAGUAGUAGAGAGGCAAGUGAAGACAAUUAACUCGGUAUGAGAAGCACAAAAGAUAGAUAGGGGAGCACAGACCAGGGACAGCACACCCAGUUUAGAGGGACUGGGAAACAUUUCUGGAGAAAAUGAUCAGUAAUGUUAGGUGUUUUUGUCCAGGAAAGGCUGAGGGGGGUGACAACACCCUUCCAAGAAGGCUUGCACUGUGAACAACACUGAAGUGACUUGCCCAGGGGCACUCUAUAAGUAGCAGAGCCUGGAUUGUUCAAAAGUGAAACCCUACGUUCUUAGUCACGUUGCUCCACUGUCAAUAUUGAAAUGAUUAUUCAAGAGGCCCAACUAUUGAUUAUAAACAAUAGUGCAUUGCAGAUCUGGCUGCUUUCUUGGCCAUGUGGGGCUUUGAGCUCUAGCCCCUAAAUCAGCAGAGAAAACACAAUCCAGCCACAGAUGGUGGCUCACACCUGUAAUCCUAGCACUUUGGGAGGCUAAGGCGGGUGGAUCACCUGAGGUCAGGAGUUCGACACCAGCCUGGCCAACAUGGUGAAACCCGUCUCUACUAAAAAUACAAAAAAAUUAGCUGAGCGUUGUGGCAGGCACCUGUAAGUCUCAGCUACUUGGGAGGCUGAGGCAGGAGAAUCGCUUGAACCCAAGAGACAGAAGUUGAAGUGAGCAGAGAUUGCACCACUGCACUCUAGUCUGGGUGACAGAGUGAGACUCUGAAAAAAAAAAGAAGGAAGAAAGGAAGGAAGGGAGAAAGGAAAGAGAGAAAAGAAAGAAAGAAAAAGAAAGAGGGAAGAAAGAAAAAGAAAGGAAAGAAAAAGAAAGAAAAGAAAAAGAAAGAAAAAAGAAAGAAAAAGAAAGAAAGAAAAAGAAAGGAAGAAAGAAAGGAAGAAGAGAAGAAAGGAAGAAAGAAAGGAAAGAAAGAAAGAAAGAAAGAAAGAAAGAAAGAAAGAAAGAAAGAAAAAGAAAGAAAGAAAGAGAAAGAAAGAAAAAGAAAACACAAUCCAAACUAUUGAGUAGUCAGGGGAGUUAGGCAGGAACAAUACCGAUGUUGUCUGGACCCUGAAUAACAUAUUCCAAACAACUUUCUCAUUGCCUAAGUAAGUCGAAAGUACUGUUUUGCAAUUUGGUUGCAGUGUGCAAGUUUGGUUGAUUUCAUGUGUCUUAAAGAAUUAUGCUCUGUAGACACCAUGUGAUUACUUUUUAAAGUGAAGUGAAGUAAGAGUGAUACUUAAUAUCACAGUAUUAGGGCAAUGCCUUUAUAAAUUAGAUGCCUACUUUAAAAUUUAUAAAAUUGUGGCACCAAAUAUAUGUACAGUCAACCUGCUGUAUCUGGAGGUUCCACGUCUGUGGAUUCAACUAAUCAUGGAUUGAAAACAUUUUUACAAGAUGGCUGGUCAUGUCUGUCCUGAACAUGUAUGAAAUUUUUUAUUGUUAUUCCCUAAACAAUAUAGUAUAGCAACUAUUUACAUAACAUUUACACUGUAUUAGGCAUUACAAAUAAUUUAGAGAUGAUUUAAAGUAUACAGGAGGUUGUGCAUAGGUUGUAUGCAAAUACCAUGCCAUUAUACAUGAGAGACUUAAGCAUCUGUGGAGUUUGAUAUUAGCAGUAGGUCCUGGAAUCAAUCCUCCAGUGAUACUAAGGGAUAACUGUAUAUUCAUAUUCUGUCUCCUGGAAAGAUAUAAAAUGUCUCACAACAAAAGUAAUUUUUUUUAAAAAUUAAGAUUCAAGGAAGUAACACUAGGAAGUUCAAUUUGAAUGGAAUAUACAUAAAAUUUAUUUCUGGGUUCCCUGGGAGCCAAAGCAAAAAGGGAAACAUGAAAAAAAUGCAUAAUUUUUUUUUAUCAAAAAGGAGAAAGCAGAUUCACUCCCCCUGGAAAAAAAAGUGUUUGCAAAGACAAAAAUUCUAAAAAUAGUAAUUUAACAUAGACUUAACCUUUGGAAGAAAGAAGAAACAAUUCAAGGUGUUUGUAAUGUAAUGGAUUAUCAUAUAAUCAAGAACUAUGAUGAAAUAGAGAACACUCUUUCCUUUAAACCUAGAACAGAGAAAGAAUUCCUAUCAGAGAACUAUUAAUGGAAAGUCAGAACCACUAGGCUCUGAUGUGCAGAUCUAGGUUCAAAAUGCAGCGCUUAUUUAUCUAUUUAGUUAUGUGUUUAUGAGGCAACUAUUUGUUGAUUACCUAGUCUGUGCCAUUCAUGUUUCUAGGGCUGUGAUGGAGUGAUGAAAAAGAAAAAGUCCCUGCUCAUAAUUCACAUAAUGACUCCAGCACAUUAAUAUAAAAUUUUACAGUUUUAAUUGUCACAUGAUGUGUGAUGGAUGAAUUAUGAGUUAAUCAACUUACAUGAUACUUUAUGGUUUGCAAAAUGUUUUCACACAUCAUUACAACCCAAAUCUCCUUGCAGAAGCAUGGGGACAUUCUAGACAUAGCUCAACAUUCAAAUUUGGACUAAUGCUCCUGGUUAAGGAGUCUUGAUAUAUCAUGAAAGUAUUGGUUGUGCUUAUAUUUUUCCAUUAAAAAGGAUAUGCUUAAGAGCCCAUUUCAGUAAUUAGGAAGAAAGUUAGCUAGCAAAUGCCACAAGAGACUUUAACAUACCUUGAUGUGCUUAAGAGUUGAACAUUGCACUCAGUGACACUUAGUUUAAUGAAUAUCACAAUUUUCUUCACAUCCCAUGAAGCAUUGCAGGACUUUUGGCAAAAUGUGAGGUCCUUCUGCUAGGCACAGCUAGGAAAUACUAAUAACUGUUAAAUGAGAACCUCUUGUUCCUAUCUUAAGGCAAUGACAUCAUUCAUAUGGUUCACUCAGCCUCUCAGGCCUUUUAUUCUCCUCCUUCAGCAUGCCUAUUGCAUACAAUAGGUAAAGAAUUCUCCUUCUUUUCCAGUUAAUUAACCCACCUGCUAAUAAUACUCUUCUGUCCUUGAUUGAUUCAGAGCAACCUCCAGCUGUCAGCCUCCUAUCUAGUCAGAAGCUUUUGAUGAUGAAAAUGGAGUCCAUAAGAAAGAAAUGGGCUACAAAUAUUAAGUGCAGGCAGGCAAGGUGCAAGUAGGGUGAUAUCUUAUCCCAGUUUGCCCAGAAUUUUAUGCUUUUAGUGCUGAAGAUCCCAAGUCCUGGGAACCCACUAAAUAGGACUAGGAAUUGUUCCCCUAAGUGCAGGGAAUCAUCUCUAUAGUCAAACAGCAACAAAUGAGUAAACAUGAGGGGGCAGGUAACAGCAGAUGUUUUAGUUUGGAUUCCUCCAAUAGCAGGCUCUAAGUCUAGGAUUCCAUGCAAGUGGUUUACUGGGAGAUGAUCCUAGGAAACAGUGGUAGGGGAGAAGAGAAAUGAGAUAGGAAAGCAAUUGCCACUGUGGGCAUCUGGAACCUAUUCCUACUGAGAAACACUGAGAGUAGUGCAAUACAUGUGCCUUUGAGCCAUGCUGCCUGAGGGGAAUUGGAGUUGGGGUAACUACCAGUUGUUAGUUGAAGUCUGUUCUUAGUGGUGGAGGCGGAGUUUGCUAAUUGUGCCUGCUGAGCCUAUGGGCAGAGUGGACCUCAAUUUUCCGAGAAAGUUCUCCAACCAAAAGAUGCAGAUGCUGCAGGUAGAAGCUGUGCUAUAUUGCACACUGAAAUGGUAAGGUAGGACAGUGAUGAUGCUGUUACAAUGGGUCUACAUUGUUUUCCAGGUCAACUCAUUCUACAGCACUGACUGGCUAACUCUUCCCUGUGUGGACACAGCUUCUUUGGUAAUAUAAGAAAAAAACAUGUGUGCUAGAUAUGGGGGAGAGUAAGGAUUUGAGUGGAUAUUUGAAAGGCAGAUGAGUUUGAUGCCUUGGAAUCAUGCCUAAUAUAUGUUCUUUUCAUUCGUGAUUAUCAUAUAGCCAAACUAUAGAUAUGUGGGAUUAGUAGUCUCCAAUAAGGCCACUUCCAAGUAGUCUUCCAAGUAGCCUUCAAUCAUACCACUUCAGGCAUUAAUUCUAUUAGUCUGAAUGAUUUGGGCAGAUGAGACUUUUGAACACCACUUGGUCUUACCAUGGCUUAUGAGGCCUCAUUAUCAUAAAAAGUAGACUUGUUCUUUCACUUAUAUCUUUCUCUGAGCCAUUAUAAACCAUUUUAUUAUUUCUGUCUUUGAGCUGAACAAAGUUGUCUCUCAGGUCUCCUAUAGAAAUAUCUAGAACAUGACCUCCUUCUGAAGUUUGUAAUGUAUUCAGAGUGGAAUGCGAUGGUAAGCUGUGCACCUGGGUAUACAAGCAAGGUACUUGGAGUUGAUGGGUGAGCUACAUUCAGCCUCAUUCAGCCCUGAAGACCAAGAUUGUUCAUCUUCCAGCUGACCUGACAAGCACCUCUGCCAAAUAGAGAUUAUUGAAUCUGGAUAGACGCUGAAGAGUCAAUCAGAUUGUUGUUCAAGGAGUUUAGCAAAGACAAUUGGUGAACAGAAGCCAUAUGUAAUUAAAAGCCUCACUGUAGGGAGAGACCAGUGUGAGAAUUGCUUGGUUGUGGUGGAGAGAUCUUAGGCACAAAUGCAGAGCAGUUGUGUGGAGCUGUGGUCAUGACAGACGGUCUUUGGAAUGAGAAGCAAUGUUUCCCUGCCAUGGAGAGGAAAAGGAAACCAGGUGGCUCAACCUGGCUUGUGUCUUAAAAGUCAACCCAGCAUCUAUGAGUCUGCCUCUGAAGCUAUUGGGACACUCUUCUGUAUUCUUCAGUUCCCACGUGCAGCCUUAUGAGAAAUAGUUAAUUGUCUCCACCAACCCGAAAUAACCCAACUAACGUAUCUUUUAAGUAUUUGAAAUCACCACUCACCUGUCUCUGACUUAGGCUAAACAAUUUUAAUUCCAUUAUUUUUUAUUUUUACCAUUUAAACAUUAGUUUAAUUUUAAUUUUUUUUUUUCGGAGAUGGGGUCUUACUCUGUCGCCCAGGGCUGGAGUGCAGUUGCACAUGGCUCACUGCAGCCUCAACCUCCUGUGUUUAAGCGAUCCUCCCUACCUCUAGCCUCCUGAGAAGCUGGGACCACAGGCAUGUGCCAGCAUGCCCUGCUAAUUUUUACUUUUUUAUUUUUGUAGAGAUGCAGCCUCCUUAUGUUGCCCAGGGCUGGUCUCAAACUCCUGGGCUCAAGUGAUUCUCCUGCCUCGGCCUCCCAAAGUGCUGGGAUUAUAGGCAUGAGCCACUGCACCUGGCCUUAUUUUGAAUUUGAAGACUUAUACAUUCAAUUCAGCCUCUUCAAGUCCUCCUACCUAGGAGGCACUGGGGAGUAGACUAGCAUGAGAUAUGAGACUUAGGGUCAGAAAUACAUAGAUUCCAAGCUUGGCCCAGCAGUCCACUUUAAAUGUGCAUAUGGGCAAGCUACUUAACUUCUCUGAAGCUUAAAUGAGAAUUAUAUUUAUAAUUAACAAUAUUAUUAUUACCCCCACAAAAAAUAAGAUACGUGAAAAUCUUUUUCUCUACCCUUCCUUGCCCUCAGAUAUAUUCUAUGAAAGACUGAGAUUUGUUAUCUUAUAAAAUAGAAUCUAAUAAAGAAAAUAAAAGAGUAGGAAUUAAAAACAUGAUAAAUGGAGAAUAAUAAGUGAAGAAAGCCAAUAUUAUUUGAGCUACAAACUUAAUAGUGAGCUUCUUGGAAAUGAACAAAAGCAAAAUGCAAUAGUCACAUCCUACUCUAAUAAAAUGAAAUAUAAAAUUUUAUAAAGUAAGAAAUAUGAUUUUUAGUUUACCUGUAAUGUGAAUUGUUACAUUGGUUCUGUUUUAAGAGACAUUGAAACAGACAGCAGAAAUUUUAUAGUAGACAGAGAAAGGACCUCUGUAUCCUAUUUCUUUUAUUAACUGCAAAUUAAAAGCUAUGCAUGUAGAGUUGUGUUGGAGGUUUCUUGAAGGUAUUUUCAUAGACAGAUGAGAGAAGAUAUAGCCAAGGUAGCCAAGACAUGUUUUUUCUUUUCUUUUCUUUUCUUUUUUCUUUUUUCUUUUUGGGCGACAGGUUCUCACUCUGUUGCCCAGGCUGGAGUGCAGUGGCGCGAUCAUAGCUCACUGCAGCCUCAACAUCCUGAGCUCAAGCCAUCUUCCCAUGCAAGCCCCCCAGUAGCUGGGACUACAGGCAUGUGCCAGCACACCUGGCUAAUUUUUUAUUUUUAGUUUUUGUAGAGACGAGGUCUCACUACGUUGCCCAAGCUAGUCGUGAACUCCUGGACUCAAGGGAUCCUCCCACCUCAGUCUCCCAAAGUGUUGGAAUUACAGGCAUGAGCCACUUCCUGGCCAAGGCAUGUGUUUUCUAAUAAAAGUGAAUAAAUGUAGCAACACAGCAUGAAGGAUCUAGAGUAAUUGUUUAUGUCCUUUCUCUGUUUUCAAAUAUGAAUUGCCUUGGUUUAUUUUCAUAUUGCACUAGCUUCCUAACUGGUCUCCUUGCUGCAAUCUUGCAUGCCGUGAGUCUUUUCUCUAUGAGGCAGCCAGGACAAUAUUUCUAUUUUGUUGUGUCACUUGCUGGUUUUAAGCUAUUUCUACGGUCCACUCCUAAAUUCUUGAAGUUUUUCAGAUAUGCCAUGUAGUUCCCCCUUUGCACAUUCUCCUUUUCCUGGAAUACCAUCGCUAUUGUCAACUAGAUUGCCAGGUUAAUAUAAUCCUUUGGAAGUCAGAUCAGACAUCGCUACUUCUAGAAAAACUUAACCACCCCAACCUUGUCUGAAUUUGUUUCCUCUCCUCUGUGUUCUUAAGCAUUCUACUACACAGUAUUGUUAUUUUGUAUUUACCUGUCUAUAAGUCAGAGGCACCAUUGUCAGAUCUUCAUCAAGCCUUCUGUGUUGGCAGAGUCCUGUUAUAUAGGAGGGGCUUAAUACAUAUUUCUUAAGUGAGCGAAUGACUUAGUAGGAGCUGGCUUUCAAACCAAUAGUCAAUGUCAUGUUAAUAACCAAUGAACAUUUUCCCAAAGUAUGUUUCAGAAAACACUGCUUCUGAGAAAUAUUAUAGGUGUCCUGGACAGAACACUUCCAUAGUUAAGGAAGUAGAAAAUGCUGCAUGUUCUAUCUCUCCAAAAAGUCGCUAUUUUCAUUAGAAUAUUAAAGGCUCUGGCAUGUUUUUCAAUUAAUAAACUUAUUUACUAUAUAUUUUUCUUACUUUUGUGUGUGUGUGAUUGUGUAGUACCUGUUGGAACUAAUUACUUACGACAAAAACAGCUUGAAAAACCUUGCUCUGCAGGCUUUACUUAAAAUUCGGAAAUCAGAUCAAGCACUGUAGCUCAAGUGCCUGUAAUCCCAGCACUUUAGGGGGCCAAGGUGAGAGGAUCACUUGAGGCCAGGAGCUUGAGACCAGC